RNAcentral lists this long non-coding RNA (358 nucleotides) under Trifolium pratense (red clover). RNAcentral's name for it is "long non-coding RNA (TPRA_LNC009658)". Lineage: Eukaryota; Viridiplantae; Streptophyta; Magnoliopsida; Fabales; Fabaceae. The record is from RNAcentral.
GGAAUACAAACGAUCCCCCGACUCGAUGUUACAAUUACCAGAGCACUAAUAUACAUCACAACCAAACUAACUUAACAAAACUAUACAAAGGUAGCCUACACUAGCUCCUCACCAAAAGUGCUCCACACCAAAACGAUCUACAGCUACAGCUCGAUCGAAACCUCGACCUGAAUACCUGAACCCCCAAAGGUCCAGCACAUAACAAAUAGGUAGAGAGUUAGUAAACAUAAUCACAUACAUACGAAUAUAGAAACGCACCUAUAUUCGACCUAUCACGUAUUACUAACUCACACACAUGCUUCCAUCAGCAAUACACCAAAUAACACAUACUCACAAAUACACAACCAGAUAGUUUCAC